GUGAGGAAUAUUGGACAAUGGGCGCAAGCCUGAUCCAGCCAUGCCGCGUGCAGGAAGACGCAUCUAUGGUGUGUAAACUGCUUUUGUACGGGAAGAAACACUCCCUCGUGAGGGAGCUUGACGGUACCGUAAGAAUAAGGAUCGGCUAACUCCGUGCCAGCAGCCGCGGUAAUACGGAGGAUCCAAGCGUUAUCCGGAAUCAUUGGGUUUAAAGGGUCCGUAGGCGGUUUAAUAAGUCAGUGGUGAAAGCCAAUCGCUCAACGAUGGAACGGCCAUUGAUACUGUUAGACUUGAAUUACAAGGAAGUAACUAGAAUAUGUAGUGUAGCGGUGAAAUGCUUAGAUAUUACAUGGAAUACCAAUUGCGAAGGCAGGUUACUACUUGUGGAUUGACGCUGAUGGACGAAAGCGUGGGGAGCGAACAGGAUUAGAAACCUUGUAGUCC
Molecule: ribosomal RNA, 444 nt
Filed under: uncultured bacterium
Lineage: Bacteria
Description: partial 16S ribosomal RNA
Rfam family: Bacterial small subunit ribosomal RNA
Source: RNAcentral